RNAcentral lists this ribosomal RNA (274 nucleotides) under uncultured bacterium. Its description in RNAcentral is "partial 16S ribosomal RNA". It matches the Rfam family "Bacterial small subunit ribosomal RNA", at positions 523 to 796 of the family's 1533-position model. The record is from RNAcentral.
AUACAGAGGGUGCGAGCGUUAAUCGGAAUUACUGGGCGUAAAGCGCGCGUAGGCGGCUUAUUAAGUCAGAUGUGAAAUCCCCGGGCUCAACCUGGGAACUGUAUCUGAUACUGGUAAGCUAGAGUUUUGGAGAGGGAAGUAGAAUUUCAGGUGUAGCGGUGAAAUGCAUAGAGAUCUGAAGGAAUACCAGUGGCGAAGGCGACUUCCUGGCCAAAAACUGACGCUGAGGUGCGAAAGCGUGGGUAGCAAACGGGAUUAGAAACCAUAGUAGUCC